RNAcentral lists this long non-coding RNA (312 nucleotides) under Mytilus galloprovincialis (Mediterranean mussel). Lineage: Eukaryota; Metazoa; Mollusca; Bivalvia; Mytilida; Mytilidae. The record is from RNAcentral.
CUAAUUUUGGCCUCAAAUUUCAGGUUCAUCUGACGAAAGAUUUUGACCACUUUUUAAACACUUAAGUGUCUAUUUUAUUUGAUUCAAUUAGUUUAUGUGAAAGAUUUUAACUGAUUUAGUCAUUAAAAACGAUCCGAUUCAAGCUCAAAUAUGAAAAGUCUACCAAAUAAGCCAAAAAAUGUCACUUUUCAGAUGGUUUUUGUCAAAAAUGAAAGUGGCCGCAUCCGUGUUCAUCCUCAACCUUUAUAUAUGUUAUGUAUUAUCUUCAAAUACAACUUACAUUUCAAUAUUAAGGAUGAACACGAAUGCGGC